CAGUCGCCGCGGGAAUACGAAGGGUGCAAGCGUUAAUCGGAAUUACUGGGCGUAAAGCGCACGCAGGCGGUUUGUUAAGUCAGAUGUGAAAUCCCCGAGCUUAACUUGGGAACUGCAUUUGAAACUGGCAAGCUAGAGUCUUGUAGAGGGGGGUAGAAUUCCAGGUGUAGCGGUGAAAUGCGUAGAGAUCGGGAGGAACAUCAGUGGCGAAGGCGGCCAUCUGGGACAACACUGACGCUGAGGCACGAAAGCGUGGGGAGCAAACAGGAUUAGAUACCCCGGUAGUCCCUGUCUCUUAUAA
RNAcentral lists this ribosomal RNA (301 nucleotides) under uncultured bacterium. RNAcentral describes it as "partial 16S ribosomal RNA". It matches the Rfam family "Bacterial small subunit ribosomal RNA", at positions 509 to 809 of the family's 1533-position model. The record is from RNAcentral.